CGAGCCGGGCGCCGUCCGUCCGCAGAGCCGCUCCGCCGUCCGAGCGCGCCUACCGCCAGCUGGGGGUCCCCAACGGUAGCGGCGGCAACUGGCGGAAGUGACGCGCUGACUGACAGUGACUCAGCCAUCCGCCUGCCUCGGCCCGUGCGGGCUCGGGGGUGCCCGGAGAGCGGCCACAGCCGUUAGUGUCACCUCCUGCUCCGCUACGGUUUUGCAUUUCUCGUAACCGUAUUAAAAUAUUUCCCGUCAAUUUUCUGAAUUAAAGCGUCAAAAGCGAGCGCUCCCAAACAUUUCCCAACUGUAAGCGCGCCAGAAGUAACGAAGUGCCCUCUGACAAAGAGCUAAUGCAUUCUGAAAUACAAAAUUUAGCACCCUUAAACUAAGUUAGCAUAAGUUAGUGAGAAGAUGCGAGCUUACACCAGAAGUGUUAAAAGCCGUGCCUGACAGUCUGUGGUUCCCACAUGCCACGUUGAAACUACAACAGCUUUUUCUGUCAUGCAGUGCCAGCAGCCAUAGGUGGUGGGUUUAAUAAAGCAUUUAAGGAAAUUUGGAUCUAGUUAGUAAAAAUCCUCUCAGGAAAAGCUUUUCUUCCCAUGAAAAACUGACAAAGAAUAUGGGAAAGGAAAAAAAACGAUAGAAGUAGGGUGGGAUUAAUCGAAACUUCCAUAUUGCCAUUAGCUGGGAGGCGUUUGUUGCAGGUUUUCCAACAUGGACUCUAAAUUUUCUCUAGAGAUAUAUUUAUAAGACUCAUUAAGAGGAUUUACAUUUAGAAUCUGAAGAAGAGAGAGUCACAAUCCCACAGAAAAUUAGCCUGGUUUUUAAUCAGAUCUAAAACUGCAUUUUCCUGCUAGAAGACUUGGUAUCAUUAGGAGGUGCCAUACAAAAACAAUAAAAUGUCCGGGGUCAGGGGAAGCGACCUCUCAGGAGGUCUGUAUUUGCUGUCGGCCUGCUUUCACAGCAGAUUUCUCCCCUUGAAGAGCUAAUAAAAUUUCCUCGUAUCAGGAUGAGGUUUCUGAAUUUGUAUUUUGUAUACAUAGCUGUGUUCUUUCGGAUUCAUUUAGCCUCAUCAACAACAAUAAAGAUACUGAAUCAGAACAAGCUGGCAAUUUUGUUGAUGAAACAUGGGAGAGAGCGGACUCCAGCUGGCUCUUCAGCAGAUAUGUUGGCCAGUUGACAGGAAUAAAACUGCAAGAAACCUGACACAGAAAACACACGCGGCGAGAGGAGACAGACAGCAGAGGCAGGCAGGAUGCCCAGCACAAGACACUUGGCUGUGUUGGACAUCCAUAACUCUCCAUGGAGGCUCUCGAAUCAGGAAGUACCCAGUUCUUCUGACUCACAGUGUACAAAAGGGCACCUAAGAAUCAAAGUCCAUUUUUAAAGCUUUGCCCUGUAUUAUCAAAUGAAGCUUCACAACACUCAAGAAAACAAGUGAAAGAAUCUAUUUUAUGGAAACAGAAACUCCAGCACAGAGAAAACCAUUCAUCUUUUCA
Aquila chrysaetos chrysaetos is the source of this 1493-nucleotide long non-coding RNA. RefSeq lists it as uncharacterized. The transcript is spliced from 3 exons. The record is from RefSeq and is a predicted model, not a curated record. NCBI's taxonomy places the organism in Eukaryota, Metazoa, Chordata, Aves, Accipitriformes, Accipitridae.